CAGUAGCCGCGGUAAUACGAAGGGGGGUAAGCGUUGUUCGGAUUUAUUGGGCGUAAAGGGUGCGUAGGCGGUUUGGCAAGUCUUGUGUGAAAUCUUCGGGCUCAACCCGAAGCCUGCACGAGAAACUACCGGGCUUGAGUAUUGGAGAGGCGAGUGGAAUUUCCGGUGUAGCGGUGAAAUGCGUAGAUAUCGGAAGGAACACCUGUGGCGAAAGCGGCUCACUGGACAAUAACUGACGCUGAUGCACGAAAGCUAGGGGAGCAAACAGGAUUAGAUACCCGCGUAGUCCCUGUCUCUUAUA
RNAcentral lists this ribosomal RNA (301 nucleotides) under uncultured bacterium. RNAcentral describes it as "partial 16S ribosomal RNA". It matches the Rfam family "Bacterial small subunit ribosomal RNA", at positions 509 to 808 of the family's 1533-position model. The record is from RNAcentral.